This 251-nucleotide ribosomal RNA is filed under the name uncultured bacterium. RNAcentral describes it as "partial 16S ribosomal RNA". It matches the Rfam family "Bacterial small subunit ribosomal RNA", at positions 78 to 334 of the family's 1533-position model. The record is from RNAcentral.
CUUUUGCUGGCGACCGGCGCACGGGUGAGUAACACGUAUCCAACCUGCCCUUUACUCGGGGAUAGCCUUUCGAAAGAAAGAUUAAUACCCGAUAGCAUAAUGAUUCCGCAUGGUUUCAUUAUUAAAGGAUUCCGGUAAAGGAUGGGGAUGCGUUCCAUUAGGCAGUUGGUGAGGUAACGGCUCACCAAACCUUCGAUGGAUAGGGGUUCUGAGAGGAAGGUCCCCCACAUUGGAACUGAGACACGGUCCAA